GAUUAGCUAGUUGGUGAGGUAAAGGCUCACCAAGGCGACGAUCUGUAGCGGGUCUGAGAGGAUGAUCCGCCACACUGGAACUGAGACACGGUCCAGACUCCUACGGGAGGCAGCAGUGGGGAAUUUUGGACAAUGGGGGCAACCCUGAUCCAGCCAUGCCGCGUGAGUGAAGAAGGCCUUCGGGUUGUAAAGCUCUUUCGGCCGGGAAGAAAACGCAUUGNUUAAUACCCGGUGUGGAUGACGGUACCNGAAUAAGAAGCACCGGCUAACUACGUGCCAGCAGCCGCGGUAAUACGUAGGGUGCGAGCGUUAAUCGGAAUUACUGGGCGUAAAGCGUGCGCAGGCGGUUUUGUAAGUCAG
Molecule: ribosomal RNA, 360 nt
Filed under: uncultured beta proteobacterium
Lineage: Bacteria; Pseudomonadati; Pseudomonadota; Betaproteobacteria
Description: bacterial SSU rRNA
Rfam family: Bacterial small subunit ribosomal RNA
Source: RNAcentral